This 1788-nucleotide long non-coding RNA is filed under the name Rattus norvegicus (Norway rat). Its description in RNAcentral is "long non-coding RNA NONRATT019538". The record is from RNAcentral. Lineage: Eukaryota; Metazoa; Chordata; Mammalia; Rodentia; Muridae.
CUUUGCAAGUCCGCAAAGUCAACUAUCCCAGCAGACGAGCAGAAAAUCGCCCUCAACUCCCAUCUGGUACCCUUGUCUCCUCUCAGAUGGGACCGUCCCACUGUCUCGGAAAGAGCCCAGCUGGGUGAGGGGAGAGGCCAACAGGGCUUGGUAACAGAGAGAGAGCUGAAACAACCCCUUCACCAAUUAACCAGGCAGCAGAAAGGGCAGAAUGAGUCACUCCCUUUACUCGCAAGAACUGGUGUCCUACCUGUGUCACAUGCUGAGAGCUCACCACCUCCAAUCUAGGUCACCAGAAACAAAAGAAACAAUGAUAAAUUACAUAAACUUAAAUUUUCAUCUUUUCUUCCCAGAUCACAUUUUGGCAGGAUUAUUCAGUUAAAGGGCCAACCACAGGAUCAGAUGUUAACAAAGAGAAAUUCGAUGUUAUGAGCCUUCUGACUGGGUUGACUGUCGCUGGCGUGUUCCUAGUUGUUUUCGGCUUACUUGGCUACUAUCUAUGUAUCACCAAGUGUAACAGGCGGCCAUAUCCGAGUUCUUCAGCCAUCUACACAAGAACAGCCAGACACACGCCCUCCAUCAUUUUCAGAAGCCCUGAGGAAACUGUCUUGUCUCUGUCGCCAUCUUCAGAGGAUGCAGGGCUACCUUCCUAUGAACAGGCAGUGGCACUGACCAGAAAGCACAGCAUCUCGCCACCACCUCCCUAUCCUGGGCCUGCAAAAGGAUUUAGGGUAUUUAAAAAGUCUAUGUCACUCCCAUCUCACUAAUCCUACCUGGCUGCCUCGCUGGAAGACAUUCGUUCAUAUGGUUGAAUAAUUUAUUCUCCCUGAAGUAAAAAAGGUCUGCUUGUUCAGCUUUUUAUGACGCACGGAAAGGAAUUAAGGAAUGAUACACAGAGCAGAAUUCACCACAGCUCUGCUUUCGUCUCGGACCUGAACUGGAUUGCUGGCAUCUUGGUAAGAAACUUCAUCUCCAUUACCUUGAAGUUAAGAAGAAAGUGCCUUUUGCAGCAUAUACUACUGUACUGGUUCAAAACCCUUUGCUGUAGUUGGAUAAUGUGGUAUGAGCCUACAAACACUCAGGAGGCUUAGAGAGAUGAGAGCUCACCCUGUCUCAAAACACAGUUUGCUAUUGGUAGAAUAAUUAGAAUUAGCCAAAAGGAACUGUCAGUCUUAGAUCAUGAGAUUGGUCUUCUCUUCCUUAGGAUUUCUUUUUUGACUGAAAAUAAUCAUACAAUUUGAUGCUUGCUGUAAAUCUGUUCUAAUUAGUGCAGAGCAUUCAUCAAAUUUGCAGGUCUUAUUUUUCACUAUCAAUCACAGUUCCAUGGAGUCAAGAGGUUUCGUUUGUUUUUGUUUUUUUUAAAAAAAAUAGUAUUCAUGGGCUAAGAAGAUGCCUCACUUGGAAAGUGCUUGUCAUGCAAAUAUGAGGACCUGAGUUCAAUCCUCAAUACUCGUUCAUGUUUGAAGCAAACAAACAACAACAACAAACAAAAGAAGCAAACAAACAAACAAAUUGGAGUCCUUGGGUGCACACCUGAAAUCUCGGCACUGUAGGAGGGGACUCAGGAGAACCUCUGGGGCUGGUGGCUAGCCACACGAGCUGAAUCAGGAACCUCCAAGUUCAGUGAAAGACUCUGUCUCAAAAAUUAGGUAGAGCUAGUAAGGUAGGUGAAUGCCUUUAAUCCCAGCUCAAGAGGCAGAGAUCUCUGUGAGUGAGUUCAAGGCCAGUCUUCUACAUUGUGAGUUCCAGGACAACUACAAAGUCUGCCUCAAAAAAAAAAAAAAAAAA